This 373-nucleotide ribosomal RNA is filed under the name uncultured organism. RNAcentral's name for it is "partial 16S ribosomal RNA". It matches the Rfam family "Bacterial small subunit ribosomal RNA", at positions 527 to 896 of the family's 1533-position model. The record is from RNAcentral.
GUAGGUGGCAAGCGUUGUCCGGAAUUAUUGGGCGUAAAGCGCGCGCAGGCGGUUCUUUAAGUCUGAUGUGAAAGCCCACGGGCUCAACCGUGGAGGGUCAUUGGAAACUGGAGGACUUGAGUACAGAAGAGGAAAGCGGAAUUCCACGUGUAGCGGUGAAAUGCGUAGAGAUGUGGAGGAACACCAGUGGCGAAGGCGGCUUUCUGGUCUGUAACUGACGCUGAGGCGCGAAAGCGUGGGGAGCAAACAGGAUUAGAUACCCUGGUAGUCCACGCCGUAAACGGUGAGUGCUAAGUGUUAGGGGGUUUCCGCCCCUUAGUGCUGCAGCUAACGCAUUAAGCGCUCCGCCUGGGGAGUACGGCCGCAAAGGCUG